RNAcentral lists this ribosomal RNA (117 nucleotides) under Tuanshanicoccus yangjingiae. RNAcentral's name for it is "partial 16S ribosomal RNA". It matches the Rfam family "Bacterial small subunit ribosomal RNA", at positions 1 to 110 of the family's 1533-position model. Lineage: Bacteria; Bacillati; Bacillota; Bacilli; Lactobacillales; Aerococcaceae. The record is from RNAcentral.
UUUCAUGAGAGUUUGAUCCUGGCUCAGGACGAACGCUGGCGGCGUGCCUAAUACAUGCAAGUCGAACGAACGGAGACGAAAGCUUGCUUUCGUCGAAGUGAGUGGCGCACGGGUGAG